This 373-nucleotide ribosomal RNA is filed under the name uncultured eukaryote. RNAcentral's name for it is "partial small subunit ribosomal RNA". The record is from RNAcentral.
CUUUACCCAGUGCGUCUAGGGCUGGGCAUUCGAGCACGCCGCCACCGCCGCUGGGCGCCGUGCUUCUCUACGUUCCACGACCCCAGGGAUGCCUGGCGGCGAUCAGCGCACCGCUGCUAUCAGCGGCCAGGAAAAGGCAGAGGUAUUGCCGUCGCCAUCGGUAGCAGUGGCAGUGAUAUUGGGGCCUGAUGCGCUGCCCUCGAAGAUGAAGCCGCCAUCGCCGUCGGCCACCGUCGAACCUUCGUAGGCCUCCCCCUCAUCGCCCGAAUCCGAAUAGAUGUCGACGGUGCACUUGGGGCAGGCGCUGCCCCUUACCGGGCCCACGUCGCUGAUAGCGGGAGGUUCCAACUCCCCGUUGCCUCCGUCCGUGGUC